Podarcis raffonei (Aeolian wall lizard) is the source of this 2418-nucleotide long non-coding RNA. RefSeq lists it as uncharacterized. The transcript has 2 exons. NCBI's taxonomy places the organism in Eukaryota, Metazoa, Chordata, Lepidosauria, Squamata, Lacertidae. The record is from RefSeq and is a predicted model, not a curated record.
AGGCUGCUCUUCCACCUUCCAUGAUGACAUUCUAAUAUUCUCCUAGCCCCUUCCUCACAUUCUGCAGGGUUACCAUAGAGACAGCAAGAAACAGCUUUGCAUCAUCGCUAUUCCGUUGCUCAUUUCUUACCGCUUGGCCAGUAAGCAGUGUGAGGGGUGCUCUCAGCUUAGAUAUUUGUGUGUUUUCUGUCAGCAUUCUUAUCAACAUGGCAGGUAGGAAAUUGUGCCAUCUAGAUGUUCACCUGUUCUGCUUCAUUGUCCCAUGAAGCAGACAGAAAAGCCAGCUGAGAAGGUAAGGAUUUAUAGCUGGGGAAUGGAUGAAAUCUUUGGAUAACUUAAAGAGAAAAGCAGAUUCCCUUAAAAAGCCACCGGGCACCCUCUACCCAUUAGUCAAGGUCCCAGUACCCCCCAUGGGGUUUAGAUAAGCCAUGACUAAGGCACAUUCAAUGGCCUUCAGUGGGACUUAGUCUUGAAUGUAUCUUUCACUGGAUGUGCCUCAGAUAAAGUCUGAGGCUCUUUCAAGAUCACAUAUUUAUUUUUGGUACUACAUUGCGCUUGUCCAAAGCAGCUUACGAACCAAGAGUUUCGAGGGAACAACAACACAAAACAUCAGUUUGGGAGGAAAAACAGAUAAAUAAGUAAAUAUCCAUAAAAGAUCCACAUUGAUCCAGAACCAAAAGCUGUUUGGUUAGAUUCUGCUCUUGUUUGAGAGCCUGAGACAGUAAUUGUUCUUUAGAGGAAUGAUGAUUUUUGUUGCUGUUGUAAUCCCUAUCUCAACAAAUUAUAGAAACAGAUGAGUUUAACAGGUUUAGUCGGGGCUUGUGAGUUCACUAGAUGUCCAGAUUAACGCGGUCAGAUUUGGGAGAUGCCAACCAGGGGAAGAGCGUAUGGUAGAGCUUGUUACUCUUCCCCAACGGACGUUGUUUCUAUCCUGGCACCUUCAAUUCCGCCCAACUGCCUUUUGCAUCAUAACAUUCUCUGGCCAGUUUGAAUCUUGGAGGUCACCGUGGUGACAGCAGGAAACAGGCUCAUAUGACGCCACUUCCCUGGGCUCCCAGGAUGGGAUGCUGCCCUGAAUUAAGACUGAGCGCGGCGCACGAACGGACAUGCCCACCUGGACCCCUUGGUCGGCCCCCAUCAUCUGGGAAGGAACAGUUGGGAGACCGGUCUUGGACAACUACGACAAGCAGCAGAAAACCAAGGUGUUAUUCCCCCGAGUACUGCUGGGAUUAUAAAAUUGGCAUUCCCAAUUUUAUAAGCGAGGUAAGAAAUGUCAAGUUAUCCUGGAUGCCAAAAGAAUAUGAAAAUAACUUAUGACUCCGCGGCCCUAUUGAAAAUCACAUCAGCAACUAAACUGAUGGCAGAACUGUUUGAUCAUUUAAGCACAGACUCUUGUUCUCUGUGGGAAGGAGAGCAAACUUUACCAACCCUUUAUCCCUGACAAAAUGUUUCCUGUGGUGUUGCAUAGCUGUGCCGGAGAUUUUUAAAGAAGCAAGUUCCUUCCGUGUGCACCUAGAAAGAGACACCCUUCCCUCUGUGUCAAAGCUGAGAGGUUUCCUGGAGCUGUUACUUCAGAGGGCUGGGUGUCUGGCAAUAUGGAGGGCAAAGGUGGUGGGUCAGGUAGGGUGGGACCCCUGCCACCAAUGCUGGGCAGGGGUCUCCAGUGGGUGGGGAGGGAAAGGUGAGAGAGGGGUGCCCACCCAUAUGGAUGCGAGUCAGAUGUUAACGGCUUGGGGUAAUCCACAUGGGUGAGCAGGGAGAGGGGUGCCAGCCUCUGCCCAAAUUGGGCUGCUGGCUUCAGCAGGGAGGGGGCUGGGGAGGGGGCAUCAGCCGAAAGAAGUUUUGGAGUGUUUUUUAGGCCUUUCCUCCAGGGUUAUUUUGUUCCCUCGGAUGCCUCAGAUGCCCCCUUUCUCUGCUUUUGGGGCUUCCUUUUGGGGCUUUUGUAUUUUUUUUCUUGGGGGGUUCUCUUUUGGGGGGGUUAGGUAUGCUUAUCCCCUUUAUGGCCAGGUCUCCCCUAUCUUGCUUCCCACGGGUGGGCGGGCUUUGUUGGAUUCCUUUAGGGAUAGGUUCCAGGGUCUUCCUCCAUCUCAGGCGUUCACCCAAGUCUGGAAGAAAAGAAAUGGAGGUACAAUCCUUAUUUUCAAUGCAACUAGUUUGUCCAUAAUGGAGAGUCUUCAUUUAUUCCAACGUAUGAUAUCCAUAUUUAGAGCUUUCAAAACCGUACUAUAAUUAAACUGAUACAACUUGUUCAAUUUCGGGGUAAUUUAUACCACCAGAUAUCUAAGACUUUUCCUAGCUAUUGGAUGAUGAAUGAGGAAGUGGGGGGGGCACAUUCACACAGGACAACACCAUUAUCCAAGAGGAUGGGAUCUAUAGCCUCUCUCUGUAAAUUUUGAAAUAAAAAAUUACUGUAAGUAA